Molecule: transfer RNA, 65 nt
Filed under: human gut metagenome
Rfam family: tRNA
About the family: Transfer RNA (tRNA) molecules are approximately 80 nucleotides in length. Their secondary structure includes four short double-helical elements and three loops (D, anti-codon, and T loops).
Source: RNAcentral
CCAUGGUCAAGUGGUUAAGACAGCGGCCUCUCACGCCGUUAACGUGGGUUCGAAUCCCGCUGGGG